Molecule: ribosomal RNA, 497 nt
Filed under: uncultured bacterium
Lineage: Bacteria
Description: partial 16S ribosomal RNA
Rfam family: Bacterial small subunit ribosomal RNA
Source: RNAcentral
GAUGAACGCUGGCGGCGUGCCUAAUACAUGCAAGUCGAGCGAACAGACGAGGAGCUUGCUCCUCUGACGUUAGCGGCGGACGGGUGAGUAACACGUGGAUAACCUACCUAUAAGACUGGGAUAACUUCGGGAAACCGGAGCUAAUACCGGAUAAUAUAUUGAACCGCAUGGUUCAAUAGUGAAAGACGGUUUUGCUGUCACUUAUAGAUGGAUCCGCGCCGUAUUAGCUAGUUGGUAAGGUAACGGCUUACCAAGGCAACGAUGCGUAGCCGACCUGGGAGGGUGAUCGGCCACCCUGGAACUGAGACACGGGCCAGACUCCUACGGGAGGCAGCAGUAGGGAAUUUUUCGCAAUGGGCGAAAGCCUGACGGAGCAACGCCGCGUGAGUGAUGAAGGUCUUCGGAUCGUAAAACUCUGUUAUUAGGGAAGAACAAAUGUGUAAGUAACUAUGCACGUCUUGACGGUACCUAAUCAGAAAGCCACGGCUAACUACGUG